GCUGGAAGACUUUCCUCCCCCUGUUGGAGUCCAGUGUUUCCCUCCACUAGAGGGCGACAUGAUGAAGUAGGCGCUGCACUACUUCUGCACUGUGUUCAAGCAUUGUGUCAAUAAGAAGUGGUGCUGUGAAGACAACAAUUGUCAGACUGAAUGUUGAACAUCAGCUAGUUUCUCCUGUUGAUUUAAACCUUGUUGUACAGAUGGAACAUUGGCUGUGGAUUAUUCUUGUUGCUCUUUUCUUUGGAGUCAGCUGUGAAGAACUGACUGCAGURAAGGAUGAAGUUUCCAGUUUAGAAGGCAGCUCUGUCACUCUGUCCUGUCCCAAACAAUCAUUAGAUUCAUUCUUCUUCUGGUAUCGAAAAUUUCUAGAUAAACCUCCGGAGAUCCUGAUCUCUCAUUCCCCUUCAGGAGUUGUAGCAACUAAAACAAGGAACGGACUGAAGAUGAAAGCCAGCAGCAACCAGAUAAACAUGGAGAUCUCCUCUGCUGCAGAGACAGACUCUGCUGUGUACUACUGUGCUGUGCAGCCCACAGUGACAGGAAACAGCUAAACUCUUUC
Molecule: non-coding RNA, 559 nt
Organism: Austrofundulus limnaeus
Lineage: Eukaryota; Metazoa; Chordata; Actinopteri; Cyprinodontiformes; Rivulidae
Source: the annotation of a RefSeq genome assembly